GUAUGACCAAACCACCUUGAACACACAUGAUCUUAUCUGAUCUUGGAAGUUAAGCAGGGUCAAGCCUGGUUAGUACUUGGAUGGGAGACAAUUGAAGGGUUCUUUGAAUGUUCAAGACU
Molecule: ribosomal RNA, 119 nt
Filed under: Salvator merianae (Argentine black and white tegu)
Lineage: Eukaryota; Metazoa; Chordata; Lepidosauria; Squamata; Teiidae
Source: RNAcentral